GACGGAGGGGGCUAGCGUUGUUCGGAAUGACUGGGCGUAAAGGGCGCGUAGGUGGUUUUUUAAGUGAGGCGUGAAAGCCCUGGGCUUAACCCAGGAGGUGCGUUUCAUACUGGAAAGCUUGAGUGCGAGAGAGGAAAGUGGAAUUCCUAGUGUAGAGGUGAAAUUCGUAGAUAUUAGGAAGAACACCAGUGGCGAAAGCGACUUUCUGGCUCGCAACUGACGCUGAGGCGCGAAAGCGUGGGGAGCAAACAGG
Molecule: ribosomal RNA, 253 nt
Filed under: uncultured bacterium
Lineage: Bacteria
Description: partial 16S ribosomal RNA
Rfam family: Bacterial small subunit ribosomal RNA
Source: RNAcentral